This 545-nucleotide long non-coding RNA is filed under the name Olea europaea (common olive). RNAcentral describes it as "long non-coding RNA (OEUR_LNC014921)". The record is from RNAcentral. Lineage: Eukaryota; Viridiplantae; Streptophyta; Magnoliopsida; Lamiales; Oleaceae.
CCACCACCACUAACAGUACUAUCACCAUUUGUGACCACCACCACCUUAUCAUAACAGCCAUCACCAAACACAACUCCAGCAUCAUCACAACCAGAACAACUACUCUCAUUUGCAAAACACCAACGACCACCAACAAAAAUUAACCCAAACUUUGACUACAUAGCAAAUCAGAUUAGAUCAGACAAACCACCCAAGCAAAUUGGAUUAGAAAACCACCACAAAACUCCAAUGAACCACCCGUCGGCUGCACGAGGUGCCACGCGUGUUCAAGGCACAAGCAAAACACCAUCCACCAACAAAAUUCUUCCCAAUCGGAUCGGAAAACCACAAACAAACUCCAACAACCACCAACAAAUCACUCGUCAAUGAUAGAAAGAGUGAUAAAGAGAGGAGACAAUAGAGAAGGAAUUGAUUAGGAUUUUGGGAGUGAAAUUGGGUGGGUGAAUGGUAUGGUAUGGGGUGUGUAUAUAGAUUAAAGGGGUGUUUAAUAGGUAUUUUUAUGUAAAAAUGCAUUUUAGAAUAGUAAAUUGAUGUGAAAUGUGUGG